RNAcentral lists this ribosomal RNA (599 nucleotides) under Glaesserella parasuis. RNAcentral's name for it is "partial 23S ribosomal RNA". It matches the Rfam family "Bacterial large subunit ribosomal RNA", at positions 1204 to 1789 of the family's 2925-position model. Lineage: Bacteria; Pseudomonadati; Pseudomonadota; Gammaproteobacteria; Pasteurellales; Pasteurellaceae. The record is from RNAcentral.
GUCAUAUGCAGCAAUGUAUAUGGGUAGGGGAGCGUUCUCAUUGGGUUGAAGCAGUACCGUAAGGAGUUGUGGACAAAUGAAAAGAGAGAAUGAAGGUAUGAGUAGCGAAAAGAAUAGUGAGAAUCCAUUCCACCGAAAGCCUAAGGGUUCCUGAGCAACGAUCGUCGUCUCAGGGUAAGUCGGGACCUAAGCCGAGGCGGAAAAGCGUAGGCGAUGGACAACAGGUUGAAAUUACUAUACCGGUGUGAAUCGUUUGAUCGAAGGAGUGACACAGUAAGGUAGGUCAGCACGCGAUUGGAAGUGCGUGUUUAAGCAUGUAGGUUGAGCUAUAGGCAAAUCCGUAGCUCUAAAAGCUGAGAUGUGAUGACGAGCUGUUUACAGCGAAGUGAUUGAUCCUACACUGUCGAGAAAAGCUUCUAGGUAGAGACACAUCGCCCGUACCAAAACCGACACAGGUAGGCGGGGAGAGAAUCCUAAGGUGCGCGGGAAAACCCUCGUUAAGGAACUCGGCAAAAUGCCUCCGUAACUUCGGGAAAAGGAGGACUCAUGUAGUGUGAAGUGCAGCAACGCAUGGAGCAUGAAUGAGUGGCACAAGAGAG